RNAcentral lists this ribosomal RNA (467 nucleotides) under Lygodactylus sp. 24 MV-2021. RNAcentral describes it as "partial large subunit ribosomal RNA". It matches the Rfam family "Bacterial large subunit ribosomal RNA", at positions 1946 to 2597 of the family's 2925-position model. The record is from RNAcentral. Lineage: Eukaryota; Metazoa; Chordata; Lepidosauria; Squamata; Gekkonidae.
CCGUGCUAAGGUAGCGCAAUCACCUGUCCCUUAACUGAGGACUAGUAUGAACGGCUAAAUGAGGGCCCAACUGUCUCCUAUGACCAAUCAAUGAAACUGACCACUCAGUACAAAGGCUGAAAUAAUCACAUAAGACGAAAAGACCCUAUGGAGCUUUAAACUAGGAUACUACCGACCGUAACCCACUAGAUCCCCCUAGUAUCCACUUUUAGUUGGGGCAACUGCGGAGCAGAACAAAAACUCCACGACCCUGCGUGUAAUACACGAACCACCCCAGGCAGCCACGCCACAGAACAAUGUUUGACCCAGUAUAACUGACCACCGAACCAAGUUACCCUAGGGAUAACAGCGCCAUCUUCCCCUAAGAGCCCGUAUCAAUGGGGAGGCUUACGACCUCGAUGUUGGAUCAGGACCCCCAGGCGGUGCAGCAGCUGCCAACGGUUCGUUUGUUCAACGACUAAUGUCCU